Molecule: ribosomal RNA, 3558 nt
Filed under: Nemania diffusa
Lineage: Eukaryota; Fungi; Ascomycota; Sordariomycetes; Xylariales; Xylariaceae
Description: large subunit ribosomal RNA
Rfam family: Bacterial large subunit ribosomal RNA (bases 32-2519)
Source: RNAcentral
AUGUAUUAAAGAGAAAAUGGCGAGGAGCCUCCUACAUUCUAGGAAAAAUUAUGUAUUUUACAUAUUGACUCUAAGAGAAAUUAAAUAAUAAACGAAGGCGAAUUGAAAUAUCUUAGUAGCUUCAGGAAAAUAAAUCAAACGAGAUUCUACAAUUAGUGUGAAUGAAAGUAGAGUAGCCUAUAUACCACUGAGUAUAUAAAUAAGUAAAAUGGAUACAAAUCUGUUUAAAUUUUAAGGGGAACCUUCCUCUAAGGCUAAAUAUAAUACAUAAGCGACAGUGAACUAGUACCGUGAGGGAAUGGGUUGAAUUAGUAGUUUUAUAAGCAGCUCGAGCUAAGGCAAGAGCGUACCUUUUGCAUAAUGGGUCACCAAGUUAACAUUAGAUGCGAGCAAUUUGCGUAGUUAAACCGAUGAUCAAAAAUGAAUUAGUGUCUAAAGUUAGACCCGAAGCUAGGUGAUCUUACUAUAGUCAGGAUUAUAAAAGUCCGAACGGGUAGAAAAAUAAAUAUCCGAAGAACUAUGGUAAGUAUAGUGAAAGACAAAACUGACCUAGAUAGCUGUUUCUGCGAAACCUAUAAUAGUAGGCAAUUUAAGUAAGAUCUUCGCAGGUACAGAACUUAAUCUCAGGCAAGAUGUUACAAAUUUUUUGAUAAGUAGAAUAAACUAGUUAAAAAAUCAACAUUUUACUUUGUAUAUAUCGGGGGGUCGUAGAGACUUUAUCGGUGAGUAUGUAGACUCGGAAUGGCAAAGAUGAAUCUUGAAUUAUCAGACAUAGAAUGAUAAGGUUGUAUGUCAAAAGGGAAACAGCCCAGAACAAGAGUUAAGGUGCUUGUAAGUGGUAAUUUGUAAAUUACCCGGUUUCUUUCUUUAAUGAGGAAGAAGUCUGACUCAAGUCUGAGUCCAACUGGAACUCGGCAAACUAACUACCGUAACUUAGGGAUAAGGAGGGCUCAGUUGUCCCGAAAUUUUCGGGUAAGGACGAAGAAGCAUAAAAUAAUGUUGUACGACUGUUUAAUUAAAACAAAGCACUUUGCAUAAAGACUUAAAGUCUAAGUAUAGAGUGUGAUUUCUGCCCGGUGCCGGCUGGCUAACGAAAAUAACUAACUUUAAAAUGUUCGGUACUGUAGGAACCCCCGGUUAAUGGCGGCCUUAUCUUGAGGAGCCUAAGGUAGCGGAAUACCUUGACUGUUAAAUGCAGUCUUUGCAUGAAUGAUGUAACGAUACAACAGCUGUCUCUAUGAUUGACUCAGUGAAAUUGGCAUAGCAGUGCAGAUACUGCUUACCUCUAGUUAGACGAGAACCCUAUGCAGCUUUACUGUUACUAAUUACUAGGCAUGGUUGGGGACAAAUUUUAGUAAAUAAGGUAAUUGAUAAGAUAGAAAUGUAAUACCUUUAUUUGGGGAUCGUAUUGUAUGGAUUAAGCGUGUUAAAAAUCUAAUAUAAUAAUAGGGUAGUUUUGUAUGUAAACUACCUACAUUCUUUUUAGGUUACACACUGACAUUUCGGAAUACUAAAUUAAGAGAAUUAGACAAAGUUACAACUGAAUAAUUCUUUAUGCAUGUUAGAAUUAGGUGAAAACGGUUAAAGAAUAAUGCCAUAUUCAAGACCGUCGGUGGUUGUAAAUAUCGCUACAGACUGGUUCACCUACGUAGAGCUGAAAUGCUCGCGAAUGUACAGUCGGGCACUAUAAUAAGAAUUAUAACUUCUUAUAGGGAGAAUGGUAUAAUUAAUUAGUAAGGAUAAUACCCACUUAAAUUAAUUACCUUUUUUGCAAUGAAAGGGAUAAUGUACUCUCAGUUAAUUAGUGUUGUUAUGCGGGGCACAGACCCCACAAAGAGUAAAUGGGAGUGUCCAAUUAUGUUUUAUGUUUAUUGUUUAUAGAUGUAACACUAAAUAAAAUUUUAAAUGUAAUUUUUUGUUUGUAAUAGUAGAUAGCAAUACGCUAUAUUCUAUCUUAUUUAUGUAUAGAUGUACAAGCUUAAAUACAUAAUGUGUUUAAUAAUUAUUGCUUUUUUGUAUCUAAAUACUCUAUCAGUAUGGAUUUACAAAACUUUAAUGAGGAGCAAAAUUUUUUUUUAUUAGGUAGGAUUUUGAUUAUAGUGAAAUUAGUCGUAGUUAAAAUAUUAAGAAUUUAUCUAAUAUUUUAUUAGCUAUUUUAUAUUAGUAUAUAAUGGUUAUGUAUAAUACUUAUCAAGUUUAAUGGCUUAAUCCUGCCUUACUGUUUGACCACCAACAAGUCUUACAGUCGCGUAAGCGGGGCAUAGGAUCACAAGACACAAAAAGGAAAGGUCUUGGAUUAUUGGAAAAGCUACGCUAGGGAUGUUGAACAGGCUAAUUUGCGCAAGAGUGUACAAAAUGAGUGCGCGGUUUGGCACCUCGAUGUCGGCUUAACUUAUCCUCAUGGAUGCAGGAACUAUGUAGGGUACGACUGUUCGUCGAUUAAAAAGUUACAUGAGCUGGGUUAAAUACGUCGUGAGACAGUAUGGUUUCUAUCUUCUAGAGGGAAUUAGAAUAUAAUAAGGAAUAACCUAUGUACGCAAGGAACUUGGUAUAUUAAUAUAUUAAUAUUAAUAUUGAAAUAACAUAAUUAUUAAUCUCUGGUUUACCUGUUGUUUAUAUGUCCAAAUAUUAAUGUAAAUUAUAUAGGACUAUCCUACUUUCACUUGAGUAGUUAUAUAGUAUAGGCACGGCAGGAAAGUUAGGUUUUUGACCUAAGGAACGAAAACCUUGAGAGGGGUGAUAGUUAUAAUUCCUUUUUAAUAUAUAUUUCUUUAAGUUCUACAAAGUUUGAUCUACUCCUAAAAAACUUAAUUAAAGACAGGUUCUAGUAUUAAGAGAGUUAGUAACCAUAUAACAACAAAAAAGGAUGGUAGUUUAUAUCUAGUAAUGUUUAAUAAAAUAAAUAAAAAAGAAGGGGGAGGGGGGGGGGUUACUCUGAUUUAUAAAUAUAGAAAAUAUUAAAAAAUUUUCAUUCCAUCUUUGUUGACCUAUUGUUUACUAGAAAAUGAAUCUAAUUUUUUAUUUAAUAGAUUUAGUAUAGGUUCAGGUUUAUUAUUUUUCAUACAAGAUGAAUUAUUAAAAGAAUAUAAUUAUGAAUCAAUGCAUAUAAGACAACUAAAUUGAAAAGAUAAAAAUUUGAUAAAUUUAAUAUCUAGAUCUUUACAUAUCAUAGAUAUUUUAAAAAUCUUAAUAAAUUAUCUUUAUAUUUAUUAGCCAAAACUCUAGGUGUAAAUUUAGCAAGCACUUUAAAAUCUACUCAUUCAGGGUUAUCUCUAUAAAAAUUAUUUUAAAUCUCAUCUACUUGAUUUUGUAUGGCUAUAUUAUCCCGCUCCAUAGCAUUCUAUAAUGCUUGUUUAUAAAUAUUAAAUAUCAUGAUACUUUUUUUUAUUUAUUUAUACUUACAAUACGAGUUAAAAAUUACUUUUUUAAUAUAAAAUAAUUUAAAUUAGAAUAUUUUCUAGUGCACUCGACAAGCACUCAUUGCGAGUAAUAUCAUUUAAGGUCGUAAAUAAUCGAAGAAUAAUAUACCUUAUUAUCUACCUAGAACCUAUCUAUAAU